Molecule: transfer RNA, 73 nt
Filed under: Stegodyphus mimosarum
Lineage: Eukaryota; Metazoa; Arthropoda; Arachnida; Araneae; Eresidae
Rfam family: tRNA
About the family: Transfer RNA (tRNA) molecules are approximately 80 nucleotides in length. Their secondary structure includes four short double-helical elements and three loops (D, anti-codon, and T loops).
Source: Rfam by way of RNAcentral
GCUUUCCUCGUGUAGUGGUCAGCACGCUGGGUGCGUAUUCCAGAGGUCCGUGGUUCGAUUCUCGGCGAAGGCG